Molecule: ribosomal RNA, 497 nt
Filed under: uncultured bacterium
Lineage: Bacteria
Description: partial 16S ribosomal RNA
Rfam family: Bacterial small subunit ribosomal RNA
Source: RNAcentral
GACGAACGCUGGCGGCGUGCCUAAUACAUGCAAGUAGAACGCUGAAGAGAGGAGCUUGCUCUUCUUGGAUGAGUUGCGAACGGGUGAGUAACGCGUAGGUAACCUGCCUGGUAGCGGGGGAUAACUAUUGGAAACGAUAGCUAAUACCGCAUAAAAUUGAUUAUUGCAUGAUAAUUAAUUGAAAGAUGCAACUGCAUCACUACCAGAUGGACCUGCGUUGUAUUAGCUAGUUGGUGAGGUAACGGCUCACCAAGGCGACGAUACAUAGCCGACCUGAGAGGGUGAUCGGCCACACUGGGACUGAGACACGGCCCAGACUCCUACGGGAGGCAGCAGUAGGGAAUCUUCGGCAAUGGGGGGAACCCUGAACGAGCAACGCCGCGUGAGUGAAGAAGGUUUUCGGAUCGUAAAGAUCUGUUGUAAGAGAAGAACGGGUGUGAGAGUGGAAAGUUCAAACUGUGACGGUAUCUUACCAGAAAGGGACGGCUAACUACGUG